UGGGGAAUUGUUCGCAAUGGGCGAAAGCCUGACGACGCAACGCCGCGUGGAGGAUGAAGACCUUCGGGUCGUAAACUCCUUUCGACCGAGAAGAAUGGCCUACGACUUCAUACGUCGUAGGCAUGACGGUAUCGAGGGAAGAAGCCCCGGCUACCUCUGUGCCAGCAGCCGCGGUAAUACGAAGGGGGCUAGCGUUGUUCGGAAUUACUGGGCGUAAAGGGCGCGUAGGCGGUCCUGAUCGUCGGAUGUGAAAGGCCUGGGCUCAACCUGGGAACUGCAUCCGAUACGGCGGGACUGGAGUGUGGGAGAGGUUGGUGGAAUUCCCAGUGUAGAGGUGAAAUUCGUAGAUAUUGGGAAGAACACCGGUGGCGAAGGCGGCCAACUGGACCACAACUGACGCUGAGGCGCGAAAGCGUGGGGAGCAAA
Molecule: ribosomal RNA, 426 nt
Filed under: uncultured bacterium
Lineage: Bacteria
Description: bacterial SSU rRNA
Rfam family: Bacterial small subunit ribosomal RNA
Source: RNAcentral